This 895-nucleotide long non-coding RNA is filed under the name Solanum tuberosum (potato). RNAcentral describes it as "long non-coding RNA (STUB_LNC006789)". Lineage: Eukaryota; Viridiplantae; Streptophyta; Magnoliopsida; Solanales; Solanaceae. The record is from RNAcentral.
AUCAUCAGCUGCAUCAUCGUCAAUGUCAGAUGCAGAAGAUGGCACUUUAUCAGCUCUUCCGCCACCGCCACCUCCACCUCCAUUGCCCCCAACUGGUGAUGUAGAUUCUGUAGAUGGGUCUGCGAUUCCUGCAUCUUUACCUUUACCUCCUCCACCGCCUAUGCCCCCAAAGCCUGCAAUGACAGACAUGGGUGCUUCAUUGCCAUUACCUCCUUUGCCCCCACCGCCUCCUGGCCCCCCACCAAAGGAACUGAUCUCUGGCCAUCUUCCACUUCCUCCACCUCCUCCCCGACCUCUUCAUCAAUCUGCUCAACUUCCUCAUUCUGGCAUAGGUGGAAAUGAAAGGGAUAAAAAUCUUUCUGAAUUGGAUGAGAGGUCCGCAACAGAGCAAAAUCAGGUAUACUUCUUAUUAAUAAGAUAUUUGGGACAUUUGUAUAAAUGAUUUAUGUACGGUUUCUAGUCCUUGGCCCUAAAGUUAUUCACGAUCUUGUUAACUUUUCAGGCCUCAUCCAUGUUUCCCCCACCACCUCCUCCACCAGGGUUGCCUUUGAAGUCAGAUGGCAUGCCUGCUGACUCUGAUGCUAAAGUUUUGGAAACAAAAGAUCAUCUUAAGUUACCUCCACCACCUCCACGGCACCCUUCAGGUCUUGGACCUGCCAUGGUCCCAACUUUUCAGCCUGAUGUAUUACCUCCUGGAAUAUCUCGGUUCCCUCCACCCCCGCCUCCAACUGAUAUGCGGCCACCACCUGGAAUUGCUAUCCAGCCUGCUCCUCCUGGAAUGAUGGUCCCUCUCUUGCCAAGACCACCUUUUGGACCUCCACUAAUGAUGAGACCACCGCUUCCACCUGGUCCACCUCCUUUUCAACAGGAUGGUGCUAGACUGCUUGCUCCUCAA